Molecule: ribosomal RNA, 551 nt
Filed under: uncultured Diversispora
Lineage: Eukaryota; Fungi; Glomeromycota; Glomeromycetes; Diversisporales; Diversisporaceae
Description: SSU rRNA
Rfam family: Eukaryotic small subunit ribosomal RNA
Source: RNAcentral
UUGGAGGGCAAGUCUGGUGCCAGCAGCCGCGGUAAUUCCAGCUCCAAUAGCGUAUAUUAAAGUUGUUGCAGUUAAAAAGCUCGUAGUUGAACUUCGGGGUCUACCCAUUGGUCAGGCUUAAUUGUCUGCACUGGUGAGAUGGAUCUCUACCUUCUGAGGAACUUUCAUGCCAUUUAUUUAGUGUGAUGGGAAAUCAGGACUGUUACUUUGAAAAAAUUAGAGUGUUUAAAGCAGACUAUCGUCUGAAUACAUUAGCAUGGAAUAAUGAAAUAGGACGGACUGAUUCUAUUUCGUUGGUUUCUAGGAUCACCGUAAUGAUUAAUAGGGAUAGUUGGGGGCAUUAGUAUUCAAUUGUCAGAGGUGAAAUUCUUGGAUUUAUUGAAGACUAACUACUGCGAAAGCAUUUGCCAAGGAUGUUUUCAUUAAUCAAGAACGAAAGUUAGGGGAUCGAAGAUGAUCAGAUACCGUCGUAGUCUUAACCAUAAACUAUGCCGACUAGGGAUCGGAUGAUGUUAAUGUUUUAAUGACUCAUUCGGCGCCUUACGGGAAAC